AAGGCCCGCGGCUCGCCGCCCACCGCUUCUCUUCUGAGGUGGCACCUGGUUCUCCGGCACGCGGAAGCAUCACGGAUGAGCGUCGCGAACACAAAGCGGCCAAUCACGGGCCGCCUUCGCCCAGAUCCCUCCGCACGAGGCCGCCCCCGCAGCCGCAGGUGGCCCCGGCGAGUACGUCCACCUUCCCUUCCCGUGAUGCCCCGGGGCUGACCUCCGACCUCGCUGGCCCGCCCCUCCCUUCGGCCGCUUCCCUUACCGCGCUAGCUGAGCUCCGGCGCCCGCGGAGCUCGCGCCAGGCUCCUGGGCAAGGACGGGGCGUAUUACCGGGGAGCAGCUGCUCCAUUGCGCCUCGAGGCCCCGAUCGGGCUAGGCUGGCGGCCUCCCUCCCUUCACCUUUCCUCUCCUGGCAGGGCCCGGCGGCGGGCGAGUGACUGCGGCCACGCCUGAAAGGCGACUCUUCUGAUUCAAGAUGACCAACGAAGAACCUCUUCCCAAGAAGGUUCGACUGAGUGAAACAGACUUCAAAGUUAUGGCAAGAGAUGAGUUAAUUCUAAGAUGGAAACAAUAUGAAGCAUAUGUACAAGCUUUGGAGGGCAAGUACACAGAUCUUAACUCUAAUGAUGUAACUGGCCUAAGAGAGUCUGAAGAAAAACUAAAGCAACAACAGCAGGAGUCUGCACGCAGGGAAAACAUCCUUGUAAUGCGACUAGCAACCAAGGAACAAGAGAUGCAAGAGUGUACUACUCAAAUCCAGUACCUCAAGCAAGUCCAGCAGCCGAGCGUUGCCCAACUGAGAUCAACAAUGGUAGACCCAGCGAUCAACUUGUUUUUCCUAAAAAUGAAAGGUGAACUGGAACAGACUAAAGACAAACUGGAACAAGCCCAAAAUGAACUGAGUGCCUGGAAGUUUACGCCUGAUAGAGGCCUGAUGGCGUCGGACUAUUCCGAAGAAGUGGCCACCUCCGAAAAAUUCCCCUUCUAGAACAUGUAGACACUUGAGAAAUGUUUCUGUUUGAAGAAAAUAGAGGGAGAAACAGAAGUCUUAAGUCUGUGGCACACUGUGUCUUCAGACAGUUUGAAGGAAUGAAAACCUAGAGAUUUUAAAUCAUGAAUUGAACAUGUAAAAUUCCAGUAAAAUGUAAAAAUGGAAUAUGCAUCGCUCUUAACCUUGAGCAUAGUGACUUAGAGACACUGUGUAUCAGUUUUGCCAAUAAGACUGUGGACUUCAUGAUUGUUGUUGAACUUCUGGGUCAAAACUCAAAUGAGGUGAAUUUUGCCUUUAAAGGGUUUAUUUGCUGAGAACCAACUUUUAAUAGUCACGAGAGAAUCAAAUAAUAGAUGUCCGUACAAGUAGCGCAUAUAUUUAACCAUUUAGUUUGGGGCUCUAUAUUACUUGCUUGAGCCUUAAUCAAUGUGGUUUUAUUCAAUGGUUUGUUCUUUGAAUGGUUGCAAAACUGUAGAUUAUCUUACUGAGGACUGUACAAACGUGAAGGUGUGGUAUCAAACUUCAGGUUGAAACUGUUUGAAGCAUUAUAAACAUUCAUUUCACAACUAGAUUGUAUAAGGAUAUUAGCUGUGAUGAGACUCACUGCAUUAUUUUUUUAGUGAAUUUUAUGAAAUCCCCAUUCCAUUCAACAGGCACAUGUUUAAAAGAGCAUUGUCGUUGGUGUUAAUGGGGGAAUGUGUUCCUUCAUUGUAUUUGGGCCUUUUGUAUUGCACUCUUGAUAUUAAAUUAAAUGUGCCUUGAAAUAGUUGGUUUUUUUUUUUUUAAGUUCAAAGAAUAUUAUGAUGAUUUUGUUGUACUCUAACAUUUUAAUUUGGGGGGGGGGCCUGUGGAGAGCAGAUUCAUUUUGGAAAUACUGUUGCUGUGCUCUUCAAAGUGAAGGAAAAGGCGCUGUGCCUCAUUUUUAAAAGACCUACAUAAAAGACAAGGAGACUUGACACUGGUUACUUUUAUGACACUUUGUCCCAGGGUACUGCAGUAGAAAGUAAUUGCGGGACAGCUUCACAGGGUGCCUGCCAGAAGAUAAUGUGUUGGAACUGUGGGCUGGCCUAAGUAAGACAUUUUGUGAAUUGAAAAAAGGUAUAGUGAUCAUUUCUAGUAAAUUCAUUUAAUCAUUUAGAUAAAUGAGGCAUUAUUUUCUUCAUGCUUCCAUCCAAUCCUGGAGGUGAAUUUUUUCCGUCAGAUCAUUCUAUAAGUCACCAAUUCAAAUUUUCGCUUGGUGAUAAUGGAGUCUAAGAUGAGUGGAAGAUAAAUGUUCCAGCUUGUCCCAACGUUUAAGUGCAGUUUUAACAAGGGUGACUUAAGUUCUCUCUUAAUCAUUCAAAUCAAUUGUAAGUAUCUUAUAUAUGUUUGUGCUUUAGGGAACUGAUUGUGGGGCAGAGGGUGGGUUGAAGAAGUGGUUUGUGUGACUUUUCAGCAAGAAACCUGCUUCUAAAAUUCUCACUAUUUGUGAGGGUUGGAGGGUAAGUAACCGGAUCUGUUUGAAAUUAGCUUAUGUGAUUGCAUUAACGCUUUUGUAUAUAUUUUAUGCCAUUUUAAGUUCACAGUAGAAAUGGCCUAAGUAUCUUUUUAGUAGAAUUUAGUAGAAAAGUAAUUCAUAAAAUGUAUUAUUAACAUGUACUCAAAUUUAGCAGGCAUCUUUCUUUGCCACUUAGAUAACAGUCAUGAGUUCUAUGGGUUUUUUUCUUGUCAUUGUUAAAAUUUUCUCUUUUAAUAAUAAGAUAAUACAUGCUUGUAUAUAAAAUUGAAAUACUAUAGAGAAAGGGGGAGAUGAAAAGUGAGUGUCACUCUCUGAUGUUACCUGGACAUCCUCAUUCUGUUCUCCAGGAGCAGUAACUGCUAUUACUUUUUCUUGGGUAUCAUCAAGAUAAUUUCUAUGCAUAUACAGUCAUUUUAUGUAUAUUAUUUUAAACAAAUGUGAUCAUACCAUAAACACAGAUGAGUUGCACCUUUUUUUUUAGUUGGUCUCUUCGGCAUUUUUCCAUUUUUUAGUGUAUCUAGACUACUACAUUUUUAAUGGUUGCAUAGUGUAUUUCCAUUAUAUUAAGGAAUCAUAAUUUAUUUAAAUCACUUAUAAAUUGAUUUUUUUCUGUAAAAUUGGCUGUAAGCCAGAGUAUAUCAGGUACUAUAAAUACAUCACUAAUUUGAAACAAAUAAUGGCUCAGGCAAUCCCCUGUCUGGAAUAUUUCCAGUAGUGGAAUGGGUUUUGCUUUGGGGUGUGUGCGUGCGCACGUGUGUCUUCGCUUUACUGUUUUUUUGUUUUAAUUUUGAGGAAGAAAGAUUCUCAGAAAUAACCUGUCCAGUUCAGUUAAAAUAUUUCAUUCAUGUGAGAAUGCACACAUUUUAGAGUGUUUAGAGGUAUAUCUUUCAACGUGCUUUCUAUUAUGUUUGUGGGUUAAUUGAUUUUAGGAAUGGGUUUUUUUGUUUGUAAUUUUAAAAAAUUAUUUCAGAAACAAUUACUUGUAAUUAAAUUAUUUUUUCAAAGCUGUGGUUUUGUUAAAAUUUAUUUCAGUAAUCACUAGUUUUAAAUGUGAUACGAUUAUCUUAGCUUAGACAUUUAUUUAUUAAAAGGUAUGACUUUUUAAACGAACCCCUUUUUUGCAUUAGAAUUUGUGACAUUUUUAUAUGGGGUUAAGUCAGGUCACAAAUUAAUGUCUCUUAUAGUUGUCUUUUUCCACUCUUUAAAAUUCAUAUAAUAACAAGGUUAGUUGUAAACACCAAUGAAAUAGAUAUACUUUGCAAGAAGAUAGUUUUGAGCGCAUAGGCAGGAAUUCCAUCGCUUUUGACAAUCUUGCAUAUCUCUCAUUUUCCCACUGUUUAAUUUCUAAGUGGAUGUUCAGUGGAGGCUAACGCCUGAGAGUGCUUAUGGGAAAUGGUGGAAAUCUGGAGCUACAGUAGCAACGAACAAGAACACCAGCUAAUAAUGUUAUGAAAGAAUAAAGCCUUUACCACAUGCUCACUGGUGACCUUUCACCCUUCGGCUCCUCUGAGCAGUAGUAACCCAGGUUUAACUCUUCACAUAUUUUCUGGAAGAAAGCUUAAUUACAAACUUCCUUGAAUUACAUUAGGUUAGAAAACAUGAGGCCAGGCACGGUGGCUCAUACCUGUAAUCCCAACACUUUGGAAGGCUGAGGUAGGCAGAUCACUUGAGCUUAGUUAGGAGUUUGAGACCAGCCUAGGCAACAUGGUGAAACCCCAUCUCUACUAAAACUCCAAAAAUUAGCUGGGGGUGCUGGUGCACACCUAUCGUCCCAGCUACUCUUGAGGCUGAGGUGGGAGGAUCAUCUGAGCCUGGGGACAUCAAGGCUCCAGUGAGCUGAGAUCACGCCACUGCACUCCAGUCUGGGCAACACAGUGAGACCCCCAUCUCAAAAAAAAAAAAUUAUGCUGUAGGUGAAAGAACCGUGCAACACUUCUUCAAAGACUGACAAUUAUUUACAAAAUGCUCUCAUUUUUAAAGUUCUAAGGCAUACUGAAGUAGUGUGUCAGGCAAGUGAAAGCCUCACUAGGAGAAGGAAAGACUAGAAUUUAAAAAACAUUUUAACCAAUAAGGUCAUUCUGAACUUACCCCAAGGACAAGAAUGUCACACUGUCUUUAUCCAAGUCUCAAAGGUAAAUAUCACGAUUAUUAGAUCCCUUUAAAAGUGAUCAUUUUUUUCUUCUUGUCUUCAUAAAUAAUUACAAGAACAAGCAAAUAAUUUCUCCUUUUAUUGCUGAGGCUAAAGAAAAGCAGUAAAAUUUUAUUGGGAAACAUUUGAGCUUUUCAUUACAUAUUUGCAAUUGCUCUGUAUGUGCACAUAGGUUCCACUAGCAUUUGGAACUAAUUUGUGGAAAGUGUGACACUCCUAGAUUGGCAGAUAUUUGCAUGUUUGAAUUGUGGUACGUGACCACUGGUCUUAUUUUUGUGUCAAAAGGAUGAUGUUUUCUGUUAAUAAAGUCUUAAAAAAAAAAAAACUUAAUUGUUGAAUGUGCCUCAAUUAAUAUAAUAGAUAUAUUCUUGAGAGUUAUGGAAGAUGGAUGUACCAUAAACUUCUCUCUUUCCUCCUUUUUUUUGAGACAGGGUCCCUGUUUCCCAGGCUGGAAUGCAGUGGCAUGGUCACAGCAUCAACCACUUGGGCUUAAGCAAUCCUCUCACCUCAGCCUUUCCAGAGGCUGGCACUACAAGCAUGUGUGCCUGGCUAAUUUUUUAAAAAAAAUUUUUGUAGAGUUGGGGUCUCACUAUGUUGCCCAUGCUGGAGGACUUCCUGUUAAGGAAAAUCCUUAUUAAAUUUUUUUUCUAGCAAGAAUAAAUAUACUCUCAUGCAUUUUUAUUUGUAGGUACUGAUUUUCAUAGAGAAGCAUUUGUGAUUGAUGUUGCAUGUACCUUUUCAAGAACUUUUCUGAUAAAGCACUAGAUUCCUUAGUGUAAUAAUAUUGGUAUAGCCAAGGUGUGUGUUAAAACUGGCUCUGUUUCCAUUUCAGAUGAUAAUUUGAGAUGAAAACAGAUGGAUUUCAGAAUUGAUUAUUGAUAUAAUAGAAACAAGGUGUAGCUGUUUGGGCACUUUUUGUUCAGGGUUUAUUUUUGCUGCUGUGUUGGCAAAAUACUGAAAUGCAGAAGAUGGAUGUGUCCCAGAAAAGAAGAUGGUAAUUAUGGGGAAGCAUCUGCUGUGAUAUAGUUAUGUUUGUAUGUGUGACAUCUAUCACUGUAAUAAUUGUAAGCAAAGACAGAGUUUUGUCUUCAUUUUGUGAUGGAUGGCUCUUUCCUUUGUAGCCAAACAGGGAAAAAGUUAAUGGCGAAGUGUCGAAUGCUUAUCCAGGAGAAUCAAGAGCUUGGAAGGCAGCUGUCCCAGGGACGUAUUGCACAACUUGAAGCAGAGUUGGCUUUACAGAAGAAAUAUAGUGAGGAGCUUAAAAGCAGUCAGGAUGAACUGAAUGACUUCAUCAUCCAGCUUGAUGAAGAAGUAGAGGGUAUGCAGAGUACCAUUCUCGUUCUGCAGCAGCAGCUGAAGGAGACACGCCAGCAGUUGGCUCAGUACCAGCAGCAGCAGUCUCAGGCCUCUGCCCCAAGUACCAGCAGGACUACAGCUUCUGAACCUGUAGAACAGUUGGAGGCCACAAGUAAAGACUGCAGUCGUCUGACAAACGGACCAAGUAAUGGUAGCUCCUCCCGCCAGAGGACGUCUGGGUCUGGAUUUCACAGGGAGGGCAACACAACCGAAGAUGACUUUCCUUCUUCUCCAGGGAAUGGUAAUAAGUCCUCCAACAGCUCAGAGGAGAGAACUGGCAGAGGAGGUAGUGGUUACGUAAAUCAACUCAGUGCGGGGUAUGAAAGUGUAGACUCUCCCACGGGCAGUGAAAACUCUCUCACACACCAAUCAAAUGACACAGACUCCAAUCAUGACCCUCAAGAGGAGAAAGCAGUGAGUGGGAAAGGUAACCGAACUGUGGGUUCCCGCCACGUUCAGAAUGGCUUGGACUCAAGUGUAAAUGUACAGGGUUCAGUUUUGUAAUAUUUUUUCAGCAAAUUUUUAUACAGUGUCAUUUAAUUUGGGAGAGGAUACUGUCCAGAAAAUUAAUGCAAACUUUUGUCACAAUUUGCCUUUUUGUGGGUGUACGUUUUGGUUUUUUGUUGUUGUUUUCUCUUUGUUUUUUCUUUUUUUUUUCUUUUUUUUUUUCUUUUUUUUGCUUCAAUACCUCUGCCACUUUGGAAAUUGUAACAGUUAAUUACUUUGAAUGUUGCUAAAAGAACAUUUUGUGUAGGGUCAAGUUAUUUUUAUAUGAGUUAAUGUGAAAUUGUAAAUGGAAAUUUUUCCUUAAAAUAUAACACAAUGACGUCUGUAUAAAUCUAUGUCUGUUUAGAACCUGUGCUGUGUAAGGGCAUUCUUCCUCAUGCUGUUACUGUACUUAUGCACCAUUCAGACUUGUUAGAGUAGAUGUGGGUUUAUGACUGCCAAGUUUGCCCAGUACAGUAGUUUUUUAUCACUAAAAGUUGGACUCAUUGAUGGAGUCCUGUAGUAGUUUCAGUGUUAGAUACAGUUUUUUCCACCAUACAUCUGUGCAUUUUCUCUUUAGGUGACUGAAUGUUUAAGAAAUUUGUGUGCAUAGUUACUCAGUUUUUAUGAACUGUUGUAUCCUGUUAAUGCAUAUUGCUCUGUGACUCCAGUAUAUCUUACCUGUACUGACCAAACCUAAAUAAAGAUUUUUAUUGUAACUCCUUAA
Non-coding RNA from Macaca mulatta (Rhesus monkey), 7201 nucleotides. The record is from RefSeq and is a predicted model, not a curated record. Lineage: Eukaryota; Metazoa; Chordata; Mammalia; Primates; Cercopithecidae.